This 440-nucleotide ribosomal RNA is filed under the name uncultured Rhodospirillaceae bacterium. Its description in RNAcentral is "partial 16S ribosomal RNA". The record is from RNAcentral. Lineage: Bacteria; Pseudomonadati; Pseudomonadota; Alphaproteobacteria; Rhodospirillales; Rhodospirillaceae.
GACUACCGGGGUAUCUAAUCCUGUUUGCUCCCCACGCUUUCGCGCCUCAGCGUCAAUGUCGGUCCAGUUGGCCGCCUUCGCCACGGGUAUUCUUCCCAAUAUCUACGAAUUUCACCUCUACACUGGGAAUUCUACCAACCUCUCCCGAAUUCAAGCACGACAGUCUCAAACGCAAUUCCCGGGUUGAGCCCAGGGCUUUCACAUCUGACUUGUCGAACCGCCUACGCGCCCUUUACGCCCAGUAAUUCCGAACAACGCUAGCUCCCUUCGUAUUACCGCGGCUGCUGGCACGAAGUUAGCCGGAGCUUAUUCUGUGGGUACCGUCAUCAUCGUCCCCACCAAAAGAACUUUACAACCCGAAGGCCUUCAUCAUUCACGCGGCAUGGCUGGAUCAGGGUUUCCCCCAUUGUCCAAUAUUCCCCACUGCAGCCUCCCGUAGG